CGCAUCCAGCCGGAGAGAGUCACUGCUGUCCCAGAGAUUUGUAGGGACUGCACGGAUUCUUUGAGAACUUGUUAAACUCUCCUGUGGACUGACCGUCCCAAAGAUAACAGGUCACAGAGCAAUGAGAGGGUGUUAAGUGCUCCUUUGUAACACCUUCCCUGUGCUUAAAGCUUUCCCAGUCAAAAAUCCAGUUUUGCCCUACUCAAAGUAAUGGGGAUGUGCAUGGCUUUCAUUAGUCUUUUUUGUUGUGUGGGGUUUUUUUCCUUUAAAUCUUUGUAAUCUGAGCAAGUCUCUUGACUGCUGGAGGUCUGAGUCAUGGUAGUUGAAUGAAUACACUGAUAAUUUGACAAGAGAAAAGCACUUUUCUGUGUUUAUAAAAGAUGCUUUGACUUGCAGCCCUGUGUCCAGGGAGCCAUGACUUAAUCUACCAGGCAUCUCAUGAUAUCUGAUGUGUUCACAAGAUCUACUCAAGUCAGAUGAUUACAUGAAAGGCUUGAGCUUGCUGAAGUACAUUAUAAUGACAAAGGUGCUGAAAUACAUAUUUCAAAUCAAAGAAAAUGGAUGCUGCUCUAGGGUAAUGGUCUCCUGCUGAAAUGCAGUGCCUGCCAGAAGACAUCCUUUCAGCCUGACACAAGUUAUGCGCCAGCCCCAACCUCUGAGCUGCCCCCAGAGAGAGGAGGAGGGUUCUGCUCAUGGCAGAGAGCUGCAGCUACUGUCCACAGGAAAGACACCCAGACCUAACAAGGAGUAUGGAUUGAACAAGGUAAGAUCUGCACUCAAGCAGCCAGAAGCCCACGCAUUACGCUUAUGGGGGAAGAUCACCCACAGUGCACAAACGUGCAGUGAGCUUUGGGAGGGAGGAGGCAGCUCAGCACAGUGUACCAUGCAUGCCCUUGCAUUGUGGAGGAAGGCACAGGCAAUUGGAUUUAACCAGCUGGGUGGAAUUUGAUUUGAUUAGCUUUGGCACAGUUUCACAUACUCUCAAUUCAUCAGUGAAUGGAGUAACUAUAUUGGAAAGCUACUGGGGAAAAACAACAUUGCCCCUGAUGCUACUGUCACAGGCAGAUAGAGCACAAUCCCAUACAGGCUCACUCUGUGUUUUCCUCUCUUCAUUGUCUCCCUAGUUAGUUUUUUUGUGCCAGUGUGUGUCUUCCUGUAUCAGGAUUGGCUGCCUUUUCUUGCUCUGAGAUCUUGGCAUGUAAAGAGCAGUAAUUACUCCAUGACUUGACUAUGAGCAAGGGUGGGAGUGCCCCCUCUUGAACAAUAAAACCCCUUGUAGAGAAAAGCCUAACUAAACAAAACAAAAUGUGUAAAACCAGGCAGUGCUGCCACAAAGCACUUUGCUAGCUAGAGAGUGUAUAUGGAGUAUGAAUAAGAGCCUGCUGUGUUUCAGUCUGUCCUGCCUGUGAAAGAUCCCAUUCUAUAAAGGGGUACGUGUUAGUCUCUUCUUAUGUCAUACAAGUCUAGGCAAAUACAACUACUUUAGUUUCAAUGAAGCUGUGCCUAAUCUCCACCAAGAAUGAGAACUGAACCAGGCCCAGCAAUUUGGGACAGCAUGUUCAUACAAAGCCAUCUUCUCUCAGAUUCAUCUUGAGAAAAUAACAUCCCCUACUUUUACCAACUGUCAAUACCUCGUAAUUUUGAGUAUCAGUAGUGGCAGCUCACAGUUAAAAACAUUUUUGUGUAGUAUGAGCUUACAAGUCCUGUAAUAUGAGCUAAUAAAGGGUAAUAUGCAAGUGAUUGAAGUCUUUUGAAACAUGGCUCACCAGAAGAUCAUGUGUCUAUCAUGUGUCAGGCUGAGCUCUCUGUAUGAAGAAUAUGAUAGAAAUUUAUUGCUUUAUCUUACAGCUCCCCAGAAGACCAUCCUUUUAAAGUAGUAUAAAAAAAGUGUUUUGUUUGAAGGAUAGAUCUGAAGAAAAAGUUAUAGGUUUCAGAGACAGGGAAUCAAGCUAAAUAUGGUGAGCUGUACAGAUGAAUCUCAGGAAUUAUUCCUGUGACACACAUUCUCAAGCUAAGUUCCCCUAAGUAUUAACAUCUGUCCUGAGUGAAAAUAGACUUUCAUCAGUUAAUUUUCAAAUCAAGAGGUGAAAUUAAAAAGUGAGAAAAUUCUCAGUAUGAAAAUUAAAUUGAAGCAUCCAAGUUUUCAACAGAAAAGUUCCAGGCAUGAGCCUUUUUGAUUUUUAGCAGGGUACUACAAUUGUGAAUACUUGUAGGAGCUCAAUUGUAACUGUAGAGAGGCCAAAAACCCCCAUGUAUACAUCUAGAAAAUACAGAAAAUAGAAAUAUGGAUCUUAAAGGUAAAGAACCAAAAAUUAAUUAAUGCACUUAAUGAAUGAUCAACAGCUAUGUAAUUUUGAGUGUGUACUUCUUACAGAUUUUGUUCCACUUCCUCAUGUGGGAGGAAUCCUUUGUGGGAUUAGGCAGGACAUUUUCCUUUGACAAACAAUGUAAGACUGAAAAUGAUACAUGAAAAAAGGCCAAAAGCUUUACUUGUGAAUUCUGUCCACCAUCAGUGGUCGUUGAUAUCAAUGUUCUUUGAGUAGAAAGGCUACAAAAUCAAUAAAAGUAAUAAAAACAUUA
Melospiza melodia melodia is the source of this 2580-nucleotide long non-coding RNA. RefSeq lists it as uncharacterized. Lineage: Eukaryota; Metazoa; Chordata; Aves; Passeriformes; Passerellidae. The record is from RefSeq and is a predicted model, not a curated record. The transcript has 4 exons.